RNAcentral lists this ribosomal RNA (456 nucleotides) under uncultured Latescibacterota bacterium. Its description in RNAcentral is "bacterial SSU rRNA". It matches the Rfam family "Bacterial small subunit ribosomal RNA", at positions 925 to 1382 of the family's 1533-position model. The record is from RNAcentral. Lineage: Bacteria; Pseudomonadati; Candidatus Latescibacterota.
ACAAGCGGUGGAGCAUGUGGCUUAAUUCGAUGCAACGCGAAGAACCUUACCUGGGCUUGACAUAUAACUGCACGCCCGUGAAAGCGGGGUUCCUUCGAGGGUGUUAUACAGGUGCUGCAUGGCUGUCGUCAGCUCGUGCCGUGAGGUGUUGGGUUAAGUCCCGCAACGAGCGCAACCCUUAUCCCCAGUUGCCAUCAGGUAAAGCUGGGAACUCUGGGGAGACUGCCGGUGAUAAACCGGAGGAAGGCGGGGAUGACGUCAAGUCCUCAUGGCCCUUACAUCCCGGGCUACACACGUGCUACAAUGGCAGGUACAGAGGGCUGCGAAGCCGCGAGGUGGAGCGAAUCCCAGAAAACCUGUCUCAGUCCGGAUUGAAGUCUGCAACUCGACUUCAUGAAGGCGGAAUCGCUAGUAACCGCGAAUCAGCAGGUCGCGGUGAAUACGUUCCCGGGCCUU